RNAcentral lists this ribosomal RNA (461 nucleotides) under uncultured bacterium. RNAcentral describes it as "partial 16S ribosomal RNA". It matches the Rfam family "Bacterial small subunit ribosomal RNA", at positions 338 to 795 of the family's 1533-position model. The record is from RNAcentral.
CCUACGGGAGGCAGCAGUGAGGAAUAUUGGUCAAUGGGCGCAAGCCUGAACCAGCCAAGUCGCGUGAGGGAUGACGGUCCUAUGGAUUGUAAACCUCUUUUGUCGGGGAGCAAGGCCCGCCACGUGUGGCGGGAAGGAGAGUACCCGAAGAAAAAGCAUCGGCUAACUCCGUGCCAGCAGCCGCGGUAAUACGGAGGAUGCGAGCGUUAUCCGGAUUUAUUGGGUUUAAAGGGCGUGUAGCCGGGCUGACAAGUCAGAUGUGAAAUCCGGGGGCUAAACCCCCGAACUGCAUUUGAAACUGGGAGGCUUGAGUAUGUUUGAGGCAGGCGGAAUGCGUGGUGUAGCGGUGAAAUGCUUAGAUAUCACGCAGAACCCCGAUUGCGAAGGCAGCCUGCCAAGCCAUGACUGACGCUGAUGCACGAAAGCGUGGGGAUCAAACAGGAUUAGAUACCCUAGUAGUC